Molecule: ribosomal RNA, 512 nt
Filed under: uncultured Glomus
Lineage: Eukaryota; Fungi; Glomeromycota; Glomeromycetes; Glomerales; Glomeraceae
Description: SSU rRNA
Rfam family: Eukaryotic small subunit ribosomal RNA
Source: RNAcentral
AGCAGCCGCGGUAAUUCCAGCUCCAAUAGCGUAUAUUAAAGUUGUUGCAGUUAAAAAGCUCGUAGUUGAAUUUCGGGGUCAGCGGGUUGGUCGUGCCACUGGUAUGCACUGGCCUUGCUGAUUCCUCCCUCUUGAUGAGCCGUAAUGCCAUUAAUUUGGUGUUGCGGGGAAUCAGGACUGUUACUUUGAAAAAAUUAGAGUGUUUAAAGCAGGCAAGCGCUUGAAUACAUUAGCAUGGAAUAAUGAAAUAGGACGUUCGAUCCUAUUUUGUUGGUUUCUAGGAUUGACGUAAUGAUUAAUAGGGAUAGUUGGGGGCAUUAGUAUUCAAUUGUCAGAGGUGAAAUUCUUGGAUUUAUUGAAGACUAACUACUGCGAAAGCAUUUGCCAAGGAUGUUUUCAUUAAUCAAGAACGAAAGUUAGGGGAUCGAAGACGAUCAGAUACCGUCGUAGUCUUAACCAUAAACUAUGCCGACUAGGGAUCGGAUGAUGUUAAUUUUUUAAUGUACUCAUUC